GUAGGAGCAAGGUACGAUGAUUUGUCCAUAUUCUUGUCAGUUUAUUUAUUGGGGAUAUAUUAAUCAUUCUCCAUCAUAUUUGAAUAGGAUUUUUCUGCCAUCAACAUCGGAGGUUUAUGGUGAUCCUCUUGUGCAUCCCCUGACUGAGGAAAACUGGUGCAAUGCCUCUUAGGCACUUACACUUACCACUUAUCUUGCAUAAUUAGCUCAAUAUAUUGGAGUUAGGGGGGUUGUAAUGAUGAGGGAAAAGGAGUACCUGAACUUUGAUGUUUGAUUAUCAUAGGCAGCAUGGAAUUGGUAAUUGCUCCCCUCCUUACAUUGCAUAUAUAUCAGCUCAUAUGAUUUUAAACACCUCAAAUUGGUAUAUUAGCAUCCAAGUUCCUAACUAUAUAACUCGACAGAAAAUACGGACACUAAGAAUCAUCAACACUUACGGACCCCAGAUGAUAUAUCCAUGACGGUCAUGUUGUCAGCAAUUUCUUAGCUCAAGCAAUACAGUAAUAUUUGAGUCAUUCUCUCCAUAUUACACAAGGAACACCAGGCCACAUAUAUGUGACAAUUGAAAAUUAAGCUUGAUAAUCAUAAAGCUGAAAAUACCGUCUCAUGUACC
Molecule: non-coding RNA, 610 nt
Organism: Sesamum indicum (sesame)
Lineage: Eukaryota; Viridiplantae; Streptophyta; Magnoliopsida; Lamiales; Pedaliaceae
Source: RefSeq, a predicted model, not a curated record